CUUCGAUCUGUGCAGCGAGUUACAUCGCGGACAAUGCAUUCCUGAUAAGUUAUUACCUCUCGUCGUUUGGUCACGCAAGAUGAGACAGAAGAGCAGGUGUUGAACUGCAAUCAAGACUUGAAAACGACGUUUGGGAGCCGAUGCAAGAGAGGCAUUUGGGAGCCAGUGCAAGAGAGGCGAUGCACCCCUCCAUCCUCCUGUUGCUCCUCUGACGCGACUUGCCCGCCAAGUUGUACUAGCUGUCAAGGCCCGUGGAACAAUGACGCCUUUGCAUGUUACUUCUUACCGAUGCGUUGUUUACCGUGCACGGACCCUAGCAGUUGGUUAUCAUAGGAUGGUGCGAUUGUGUGCUUUUCGUGACGUCACUGCGAUGACGGGUUUUCAUUUUACUUUGAUCCCCAACAGAAUGCGGGCAAAAGUAGCCCACUUGGUUUGGGAACGACACUUGCCUCUGCAUUUGAACUGUUAACGCCCCUAAAUUGCUAGAGACGUCACUGGAACAGCGGUAGCCCGCUUUAUUGCUGGCUGCUGUUCGCUGUAUGCGAUACGUUUGCCCUUAUUUGGUGCUCUCAGAGUUUGCACUGUGACAUGGAAUUCUGUUAGUUCAGGCUCGCAUCAAUUGCUUGUUUGCUGGCAUCAUUUUCGUUAUUAAUCUACCUAUUUUGCAGGCUGAAAUUCUUACCCAUGCCUCAGUAACAGUGGCAUUGAUUUCACAGUGCACUUCAAGCUUUGCUUGGGAGUACUUUAAGUAUUCACAUAGUGUCUAUGAUACAAGUAUUUGUUGUUACACGUGAGUGCUGUUGAUGGCCAAUUCAGUGCUUUUACUUGCUUAAGUGCUUUUGCACCAUUGGAAUGCAUGGUUUUCUAGUAGUUAUAAAACAUUAAAACUUCAGGAGAACUUAAAAUAUUUUAGUUGCUGGUGAAUACUAGUGUAAAGUAUUCAAAGAGCUAAUCUGAUCUUGAAUUAGUGUAGGUGAGAUAUGGCAAUGCCCUCAUUUAUGCUUUUUGGUGUGUCAUUUUGUAUGCAUGCAAGUGCUACUCCUCUGUGCACCUAUUGUUUCUUUGUAACAGAUUAUUCAGUAUGUGGCUCUCUAGGGCAUUGUACACAAGGCAGGGAUCCAGUACCACUUACUGUUUCCUGUGUGCGUUGUUGCUUCAAUUAUCCAGUUACCCUUCUCCCUUGUUUGCCUUGAAGCAAUUUUAUUCUUAGUAAAGGCUAAGCAUUGUAUUGUUCAUUGCACUCUUGAAAGACCAUGAGUGCUGUUUAGAAGUUUUGAAACUUUUGGUUGUGUUCAUAGGCAGUGUGCUUAAGUAUGUACUAAUGUCCAAAUAGAUAUGGCUCAUUAUUGUUUUGCAUAUAAGUUGAACUGGGAGGACUAGGCAAUAUAUUGCAUGUGUUCAUUGUAAAUUAUUGCGAUGUAAGGCACUGUGUAGCUCAGAGAUGUUAAUGCUUGUGCAGUUUUGCAAUUUUGACAACUGCUGUAAUUGCGUAACUUGGUUUACCUUACUGAGCAUGCCUUUCAGCAUUCUUCAUUGUAAGAUGAAUUUAGCAUUUGUAGUUGCAGCGUUCUGUCAGAAAGAUUGAAGGCAGUUUAUCAGACACUUUUUUAAUAGCCUUGCAUCCACACAGAAUACCUUUGAGUGUGUGAAUAGUGGUUUAAGCAGCUUUGAUACUUUUUAAUUGUUAAACAGUGCAAUGUUAUCAACUCGUUGCCAUAGUUUUAAAUGUAAAAAAAAAAUGGUAGAAAGGAGAGUUGCACCAAUGCAGUCUUCCUCACAACCACCAUAGUUGUCAUUUUGCUCAUUCACUAAAAUGAGACGUCUUCCACACCACAUCUGUGGCACUUGCUCCAGCUAUGACACUCGUGUUGCACUGCGGUUUCCGUAACGCCUGCAUUCAGCUCUGCUUGCUUUAUUCAGUAUUGCAAUUGUUGAUAUCAAUCACUUUAUGUAUCGACAUCAUAAAACCCUACCUUGUAAGGUUUUUGCAUGUUCAUGGGCAAAUAUUUUCAAUAUUGAGGCACGUGAAAAGUGUAGGUUUGGAAUUGAAAGUUUGUAUACUGCAUUUAGCAAGUUGACAGUAUGUAAGCAAGGUGCGUGGGGUCUGCACGGGUGUAUUAUGACGGCCAUUUUCUGAACACGCACAGGCAUUGGCUUUAUUAUUCUAAUAUGAGAUUGUUGACCCAGGUUGUUAUUGCAGGUUUAGCAGCUACUUUCACUGCAGUAUUGGAACACCCUGGCCACUACUAUAUGACAUGCUAAGCAGAGUGGUGCAUAGCAGUGUUUGCUGCCUUUCCUGGUUUGUAGGCCCAAACUCAAAGCAAAAAUGCAACUUCAGUAAAUUACAUGUGAGCCUUAAUGUGGAAGUGGUUUCUGUGAAAUUAGUAGUUUUGUCACUCCUGAGGCAAUUUUGAUGCGAUCUCCCGCUUUUGGUAAAUUUUAUUUGCUUCUUUUUCGCUAUGAGGGAUGUAAUUGUUAAGUGCAAAGUUAUUUGUAGAUAGUUUAGAACUACUUGCAGUCAUUAAUUUUGCUUCAAUUUCUAGCGUUCCUAGCAUUUACUCCUGCUAUCAAGGCACUAUCUCGCUGCAUGUUCAUGCAGGCAGUGCGGUGCUUUGUACUUAGUAUGUAUUGGAGAGAUGUAGUAACAUCCUGCUCAUCUUUGGAGGUUACAGCAUGUCAUAUCUGAUGCACAGCUUUUUAAAUCUUGCAAUUUGCACAUUCUUUGAACAUGAAAUCAAUUCUGCUUGGUGCAGUAUCUAGUUUUUGUGUGGUGGAUGGCAUAGGUUUAACCUUUGAUGGAUGUGACAAAAAGAUAAUUUAAUUUCAGUAGUGUCUAAAGCAUUGCAAAUGAAUUUUCAUCAGGUAUGGUUAAUAAAAAAUCAAAUUGUACAGCCAAGAAACACCUGACAUUGUAGAAAAAAAGUAGAAUUUACGCGCACCACUAUGCACAUAGGUCAUUUACAUCAGUGGCAAGUACAUGUACUCGUUGCCAUUUCUACCAUCUCAUGGCCACCUGUAAAAUUAUCAAAGUGCCUGUGUACACUAGUACACGCAAGGCAGUGAAUGCAUAUUUUGUAGGUGUCUGUUGAGUUUAUUGAGCACUCUUUGUGCCAGAAUUGUAUCAAAUGAUUUCGGAUAAAUGCUAGGGAAGCAUUCAAGGCCAUCCAUUUCUCAUAACACUGAUGUGCGGAUAGGCUAAUGAAUUGAUCUAUUAUUGGUGGAAGUAGUUAUGGCAAAUUGGGAUCCCUGACUGUGUCCCCAAAUCGGGAAAGCACACAGCUGUCGUGAAUACAUUUAGAAUAUUUUCGAUAUAUAUAUAUUAAAAUAUGGGCUUGGACUUUCCCUGUGUUUUUACUCUAGUGCACAAUAGAAAUUUCACUCAAAAGAGAGACUUCAAAAAGGGUAUUAAUGCGAUCUAGUUGGUACGAAUCUGUGGGUGAAAACUGAGCAAAAUAAACACUGAUAAGGGAGGAACACAGGUUACAUCCAGUGUUCCUCCCUUGUCCGUGUUUAUUUUGCGCUGUUUUCACCCAUAGAGAGACUUCAUUGAUCUGUGCGGUGACUUUUUAAUGUGGCAGAUUUCUUUCAAAAUAAUAAUAAAGAGGGGAAAGGAAAAAGAAGCCAAUAGAAAAAAAAAGUAUACAGCCACUGCAA
Long non-coding RNA from Dermacentor andersoni, 3654 nucleotides. RefSeq lists it as uncharacterized. NCBI's taxonomy places the organism in Eukaryota, Metazoa, Arthropoda, Arachnida, Ixodida, Ixodidae. The record is from RefSeq and is a predicted model, not a curated record.